GCUGGGCGUGGUGGCGCACGCCUGUAGUCCCAGCUACUUGGGAGGCUGAGGCAGGAGAAUUGCUUGAACCCAGGAGGCGGAGGCUGCAGUAAGCUGAGAUCCCGCCAUUGCACUCCAGCCUGGGAAACAAGAGCGAAACUCCGUCUCAAAAAAGAAAAAAAAAAAGUCUUUGUGGCCAGGCUGGAGUACAGUGGGGCAAUCUCAGCUCACUGCAACCUCAGCCUCCUGAGUUCAAGCGAUUCUACUGUCUU
Molecule: unclassified non-coding RNA, 251 nt
Organism: Callithrix jacchus (white-tufted-ear marmoset)
Lineage: Eukaryota; Metazoa; Chordata; Mammalia; Primates; Cebidae
Rfam family: Metazoan signal recognition particle RNA
About the family: The signal recognition particle (SRP) is a universally conserved ribonucleoprotein.
Source: Ensembl